GAUAUCUGAAACCUUCAUAGCAACAUCUUCAAAUUACCUCUUGAUGCUUCCAUUGGAUUUGUGAUGUGAAGGUGCUUUCCAAGUUUAUCAGACGGAAGGAAACAAAUCGCCCGGCGAUGAUCAACAUUUAAGCCCAAUCAUUCAUCACUUCCAUUUUAAAAUUUUGUAAUUGAAUAUCUUGUAUUCUGUUAGUGUUUCAU
Molecule: non-coding RNA, 200 nt
Organism: Arachis ipaensis
Lineage: Eukaryota; Viridiplantae; Streptophyta; Magnoliopsida; Fabales; Fabaceae
Source: RefSeq, a predicted model, not a curated record